CCUACGGGAGGCUGCAGUGGGGAAUAUUGGACAAUGGGCGAAAGCCUGAUCCAGCCAUGCCGCGUGUGUGAAGAAGGCCUUCGGGUUGUAAAGCACUUUCAGUGGGGAAGAAAGCCUUGGGGCUAAUACCCUCGAGGAAGGACAUCACCCACAGAAGAAGCACCGGCUAACUCCGUGCCAGCAGCCGCGGUAAUACGGAGGGUGCGAGCGUUAAUCGGAAUUACUGGGCGUAAAGCGCGCGUAGGCGGUCUGAUAAGCCGGUUGUGAAAGCCCCGGGCUCAACCUGGGAACGGCAUCCGGAACUGUCAAGCUAGAGUGCAGGAGAGGAAGGUAGAAUUCCCGGUGUAGCGGGGAAAUGCGUAGAGAUCGGGAGGAAUACCAGUGGCGAAGGCGGCCUUCUGGACUGACACUGACGCUGAGGUGCGAAAGCGUGGGUAGCAAACAGGAUUAGAUACCCCUGUAGUC
This 465-nucleotide ribosomal RNA is filed under the name Vreelandella stevensii. RNAcentral's name for it is "partial 16S ribosomal RNA". It matches the Rfam family "Bacterial small subunit ribosomal RNA", at positions 338 to 795 of the family's 1533-position model. The record is from RNAcentral. Lineage: Bacteria; Pseudomonadati; Pseudomonadota; Gammaproteobacteria; Oceanospirillales; Halomonadaceae.